RNAcentral lists this ribosomal RNA (468 nucleotides) under uncultured bacterium. RNAcentral describes it as "partial 16S ribosomal RNA". It matches the Rfam family "Bacterial small subunit ribosomal RNA", at positions 28 to 507 of the family's 1533-position model. The record is from RNAcentral.
GACGAACGCUGGCGGCGUGCCUAACACAUGCAAGUCGAACGGAACGGUCCUGCCUUUUUGGGGUGCUCGACUUGCCAACGGGUGAGUAACACGUGAGUAACCUGCCAUUGACUUUGGGAUAUCCUCAGGACACUUGGGGUAAUACCGCCUAGGAUCUCCCGCCUUAUGGUGGGCGUUGGAUAGUUUCGGCGGUUGGGGACGGACUCGCGGCUUAUCAGCUUGUUGGUGGGGUAGUGGCCUACCAAGGCUUUGACGGGUAGCCGGCCUGAGCGGGUCACCGGCCACAUUGGGACUGGGAUGCGGCCCAGACUCCUACGGGAGGCAGCAGUGGGGAAUAUUGCACAAUGGGCGGAAGCCUGAUGCAGCAACGCCGCGUGCGGGAUGACGGCCUUCGGGUUGUAAACCGCUUUCGCCUGUGACGAAGCGUGAGUGACGGUAAUGGGUAAAGAAGCACCGGCUAACUACGUG